GACGAACGCUGGCGGCGUGCUUGACACAUGCAAGUCGAACGGAAAGGCCUGCUUUCCCUUGUGGAUUGCGGGUACUCGAGUGGCGAACGGGUGAGUAACACGUGAGUGAUCUGCCCCCAACUUGGGUAUAAGCCUGGGAAACUGGGUCUAAUUCCCGAUAGGACUGCAGGGUGGUGCCUGUGGUGGAAAACGAUUUUCUAGUGGUUGGGGAUGAGCUCGCGGCCCAUCAGCUUGUUGGUGGGGUAAUGGCCUACCAAGGCGGCGACGGGUAGCCGGCCUGAGAGGGUGGACGGCCACAUUGGGACUGAGAUACGGCCCAGACUCCUACGGGAGGCAGCAGUGGGGAAUAUUGCACCAUGGGCGGAAGCCUGAUGCAGCGACGCCGCGUGGGGGAUGACGGCCUUCGGGUUGUAAACUCCUUUCGACCGCGAGGAAGCCACCUGGUUGGAAGGGUGGUGACGGUAGUGGUAGAAGAAGCACCGGCUAACUACGUG
Molecule: ribosomal RNA, 494 nt
Filed under: uncultured bacterium
Lineage: Bacteria
Description: partial 16S ribosomal RNA
Rfam family: Bacterial small subunit ribosomal RNA
Source: RNAcentral